RNAcentral lists this ribosomal RNA (461 nucleotides) under uncultured bacterium. Its description in RNAcentral is "partial 16S ribosomal RNA". It matches the Rfam family "Bacterial small subunit ribosomal RNA", at positions 338 to 795 of the family's 1533-position model. The record is from RNAcentral.
CCUACGGGGGUCAGCAGUGAGGAAUAUUGGUCAAUGGGCGGGAGCCUGAACCAGCCAAGUCGCGUGAGGGAAGACGGUCCUAUGGAUUGUAAACCUCUUUAGGCGGGGAGCAAUGCCGGGCACGUGUGCCCGGAUGGAGAGUACCCGCAGAAUAAGCAUCGGCUAACUCCGUGCCAGCAGCCGCGUUAAAACGGAGGUGGCAAGCGUUAUCCGGAUUUAUUGGGUGUAAAGGGCGUGUAGGCGGGAAAGCAAGUCAGAUGUGAAAACUCAGGGCUCAACCCUGAGGCUGCAGUUGAAACUGGUUUUCUUGAGUGCUGGAGAGGCAAUCGGAAUUCCGUGUGUAGCGGUGAAAUGCGUAGAUAUACGGAGGAACACCAGUGGCGAAGGCGGAUUGCUGGACAGUAACUGACGCUGAGGCACGAAAGCGUGGGGAGCAAACAGGAUUAGAUACCCUUGUAGUC